AGUGAACGCUGGCGGUAGGCCUAACACAUGCAAGUCGAACGGCAGCACAGUAAGAGCUUGCUCUUACGGGUGGCGAGUGGCGGACGGGUGAGGAAUACAUCGGAUUCUACUUUUUCGUGGGGGAUAACGUAGGGAAACUUACGCUAAUACCGCAUACGACCUACGGGUGAAAGCAGGGGAUCUUCGGACCUUGCGCGAUUGAAUGAGCCGAUGUCGGAUUUGCUAGUUGGCGGGGUAAAGGCCCACCAAGGCGACGAUCCGUAGCUGGUCUGAGAGGAUGAUCAGCCACACUGGAACUGAGACACGGUCCAGACUCCUACGGGAGGCAGCAGUGGGGAAUAUUGGACAAUGGGCGCAAGCCUGAUCCAGCCAUACCGCGUGGGUGAAGAAGGCCUUCGGGUUGUAAAGCCCUUUUGUUGGGAAAGAAAAGCAGCAGGUUAAUACCCCGCUGUUCUGACGGUACCCAAAGAAUAAGCACCGGCUAACUUCGUG
This 492-nucleotide ribosomal RNA is filed under the name uncultured bacterium. Its description in RNAcentral is "partial 16S ribosomal RNA". It matches the Rfam family "Bacterial small subunit ribosomal RNA", at positions 29 to 507 of the family's 1533-position model. The record is from RNAcentral.